Molecule: non-coding RNA, 358 nt
Organism: Pocillopora verrucosa
Lineage: Eukaryota; Metazoa; Cnidaria; Anthozoa; Scleractinia; Pocilloporidae
Source: RefSeq, a predicted model, not a curated record
GAUGUAGUAACUCCCGGAUGAAAAUGAAAAGUGCUUGCCGAAGCAAGGAUUCGACGGCGGCUGAAACAUCAAUGUGAGAAAGGUUUUAGUUUGCAAACUUCGACUGAACCGAUCGGUGAACCACAGAGUCAAGAAAGGGCAGCUAAUCAUAGUGUUAAAGGGAUGUGUUUGAGAGUCACAUGAAAAGAUAAACCCAUCGGAUGAGUUUGGAAAAUAUGAGCGAGGAGGAGUGCAGCCCUUCUAAAUUUCCUCGACUGACUGUUCCAUUACGCGACAUAAGGGUCAAUGGCCUUUUCAGUAGAGUGGUCCAAUUAGAUGGAUUGGUAAGUUACAUUAUUUUCCCAUUCUUUGCAUUUUC